AAUACCGCAUAAUAUCUGAGGAAGAAAGUGGGGGAUCGAAAGACCUCAUGCUUUUGGAGCGGCCGAUGUCUGAUUAGCUAGUUGGUAAGGUAAUGGCUUACCAAGGCAACGAUCAGUAGUUGGUCUGAGAGGACGGCCAGCCACACUGGGACUGAGACACGGCCCAGACUCCUACGGGAGGCAGCAGUGGGGAAUUUUGGACAAUGGGCGAAAGCCUGAUCCAGCAAUGCCGCGUGAGUGAAGAAGGCCUUCGGGUUGUAAAGCUCUUUCAGUUGAGAAGAAAAGAUUCCGGUUAAUAACUAGAAUUCAUGACGGUUCAACA
RNAcentral lists this ribosomal RNA (322 nucleotides) under uncultured bacterium. RNAcentral describes it as "bacterial SSU rRNA". It matches the Rfam family "Bacterial small subunit ribosomal RNA", at positions 165 to 483 of the family's 1533-position model. The record is from RNAcentral.